AGCUCUUCUUUGCCUUUUGGCUUAGAUCAAGUGUAGUAUCUGUUCUUUUCAGUUUAAUCUCUGAAAGAUGCCUAUUGGCAUCAAUCUUGAUUAUUCCUAUUUUUGAUUCUCGAAGUCCGGCCUCUGUGGCUUGCUGCAUGCCGACUUCACCGUGUCCCUGGUAUUUCACUGCCUCCAGGAGACGCAAACCGUG
RNAcentral lists this small nuclear RNA (193 nucleotides) under Colletotrichum higginsianum. RNAcentral describes it as "U2 spliceosomal RNA". It matches the Rfam family "U2 spliceosomal RNA". Rfam says of the family: U2 is a small nuclear RNA (snRNA) component of the spliceosome (involved in pre-mRNA splicing). The record is from Rfam by way of RNAcentral. RNAcentral also lists the same sequence under 1 other name. Lineage: Eukaryota; Fungi; Ascomycota; Sordariomycetes; Glomerellales; Glomerellaceae.